ACAGAAGGGAGCUUGCUCCCGGAUGUUAGCGGCGGACGGGUGAGUAACACGUGGGUAACCUGCCUGUAAGACUGGGAUAACUCCGGGAAACCGGAGCUAAUACCGGAUAGUUCCUUGAACCGCAUGGUUCAAGGAUGAAAGACGGUUUCGGCUGUCACUUACAGAUGGACCCGCGGCGCAUUAGCUAGUUGGUGGGGUAAUGGCUCACCAAGGCGACGAUGCGUAGCCGACCUGAGAGGGUGAUCGGCCACACUGGGACUGAGACACGGCCCAGACUCCUACGGGAGGCAGCAGUAGGGAAUCUUCCGCAAUGGACGAAAGUCUGACGGAGCAACGCCGCGUGAGUGAUGAAGGUUUUCGGAUCGUAAAGCUCUGUUGUUAGGGAAGAACAAGUGCGAGAGUAACUGCUCGCACCUUGACGGUACCUAACCAGAAAGCCACGGCUAACUACGUGCCAGCAGCCGCGGUAAUACGUAGGUGGCAAGCGUUGUCCGGAAUUAUUGGGCGUAAAGGGCUCGCAGGCGGUUUCUUAAGUCUGAUGUGAAAGCCCCCGGCUCAACCGGGGAGGGUCAUUGGAAACUGGGAAACUUGAGUGCAGAAGAGGAGAGUGGAAUUCCACGUGUAGCGGUGAAAUGCGUAGAGAUGUGGAGGAACACCAGUGGCGAAGGCGACUCUCUGGUCUGUAACUGACGCUGAGGAGCGAAAGCGUGGGGAGCGAACAGGAUUAGAUACCCUGGUAGUCCACGCCGUAAACGAUGAGUGCUAAGUGUUAGGGGGUUUCCGCCCCUUAGUGCUGCAGCUAACGCAUUAAGCACUCCGCCUGGGGAGUACGGGUCGCAAGACUGAAACUCAAAGGAAUUGACGGGGGCCCGCACAAGCGG
RNAcentral lists this ribosomal RNA (881 nucleotides) under Bacillus safensis. Its description in RNAcentral is "bacterial SSU rRNA". It matches the Rfam family "Bacterial small subunit ribosomal RNA", at positions 69 to 932 of the family's 1533-position model. Lineage: Bacteria; Bacillati; Bacillota; Bacilli; Caryophanales; Bacillaceae. The record is from RNAcentral.